AUCGGAAAUUACAAGCAUUACACGUCGGCGAGAAAAUUGUUAUGACGUCAUUUUGCUGAGUGUGGAAACUAGAUGCGACGACAGGUUUCACUAUCAGCAAAGAACGGAUGAAUGGAUGAAAGACUGGGAAUAAAAACAAACGGACUGACUGAACACGCCCUUGGCGAGGUGGGGGGAACUGGACCACCUUUCUGUGCCCCAUCAUCCUCUAUUAGACGACAUCCAAGCUAAGUAAACAUGUCUUGGCCCUUUCCCCCUGAAAUGACAGGCAGGCAAAGAUGUUGCGUAUUUGUUUGCUUCCUGGCCCUGGGUCUCAUUCCCAUUGGCAUAAUCCUGAUCUGUGAAGGGCCCCCGACACUUAUGACACCUUCAAGUUCAAAAGCUUCGCCCCCUUCUGACAGUCCCAAUCUGACAAAUGUAGCCCCUAGGGUCUUGCCCACCACUUCCUCUCCAGUUUUACCAUAUUCACUUUUGAAUGUCCUUAGCAGUUACCGUUCUGAGUUUAUUUUACGGUUGAUUUAUUCUUUCACAUUUUCACGUUUAUAUCUCUCAUUAUUAUAGUAUACUCUGUACUCUCCACAUUUUUAUCAUUACUUAUGCUUUUUGGUUGCUGAGUUACAGGAACUGUUAAUUUUGUGUCACUACCCUGGUUGCACUAACUCGUUGUACCCUUGUGUGCAGGACAGCUGGUACUGCUUUCAUCGGGAACCGAGACUGCUUGCAGCCGACCCCUGGGCAGGGUGGUGCCUGGACUCUUUUCUCCUCAUCUGCAAUGACAGAUAAAGACAAAUGAAAAGACCCGAGGAGUUUUUCGAGCCAGGCUUCGACACGUCUCUGUGUUCCUUUGAUUGUUACUUAUUUUUGUGUGUUGACCCAUUUAAGAUGGGUCAAAAGGGGGAUUUGAAGAAAAUAUUGUUCAGCUUUAAACAUUAUUCAGCUUUAAAUAUUGUUCAGCUUUAAACAUUAUUCAGCUUUAAAUAUUGUUCAGCUUUAAACAUUAUUCAGCUUUAAAUAUUGUUCAGCUUUAAACAUUAUUCAGCUUUAAAUAUUGUUCAGCUUUAAAGUUACUGUGCAACUGUGUAAUAAAAAUGUGCUCACGACUUUGGCCUUGAGAGCGAUAAGAAGCGAUCGCCUCAUCCUGCAGGUGAAAGAUAUCUGCAAGCGAAGAGACUAGAACACCCAAGGCCGAUUUCCUUUUAUGGAGUUGUUUUUCUGCUAAUGCAGCACUUUCCUCACAACCCCCUCCUGUAAGUUUUAGAGAAUAUAUACCCAUCCUCACAGCAAAUAUUUGGAAUCUCUUGAUGUGAGCUGCGUUGAGAGUUUGUCUCUGUCUCAAUAAAAGUUCACUGAUUCCCCAUCUGCAGCAGGUGUCCGGUUGUCUUCAUUCUCCGCCAGCCUGGUUAAGUCAAUUCCUC
This is a long non-coding RNA of Astatotilapia calliptera (eastern happy), 1415 nucleotides long. NCBI's taxonomy places the organism in Eukaryota, Metazoa, Chordata, Actinopteri, Cichliformes, Cichlidae. The record is from Ensembl.